CCUACGGGUGGCAGCAGUGGGGAAUAUUGGGCAAUGGAGGCAACUCUGACCCAGCAACGCCGCGUGAAUGAUGAAGGUCUUCGGAUUGUAAAGUUCUGUGAUGGGGGAUGAACACAAUGACGGUACCCCACUAGCAAGCCACGGCUAACUACGUGCCAGCAGCCGCGGUAAUACGGAGGUGGCAAGCGUUCUCCGGAAUGACUGGGCGUAAAGGGUGCGUAGGUGGUUUAGUAAGUUGGCGGUGUAAUUCCGGGGCUCAACCUCGGCGCUACCGCCAAAACGAUUAGACUAGAGUGCAGGAGCGGUAAGUGGAAUGUCUAGUGUAGCGGUGGAAUGCGUAGAUAUUAGGAGGAACAUCAGGGGCGAAGGCGACUUACUGGACUGUAACUGACACUGAGGCACGAAAGCGUGGGGAGCAAACAGGAUUAGAUACCCGAGUAGUC
This 443-nucleotide ribosomal RNA is filed under the name uncultured bacterium. RNAcentral's name for it is "partial 16S ribosomal RNA". It matches the Rfam family "Bacterial small subunit ribosomal RNA", at positions 338 to 795 of the family's 1533-position model. The record is from RNAcentral.